UCGAACAACAAUAGGAA
Molecule: unclassified non-coding RNA, 17 nt
Filed under: Mus musculus (house mouse)
Lineage: Eukaryota; Metazoa; Chordata; Mammalia; Rodentia; Muridae
Description: oocyte_clustered_small_RNA8565
Source: RNAcentral